Molecule: ribosomal RNA, 401 nt
Filed under: uncultured bacterium
Lineage: Bacteria
Description: bacterial SSU rRNA
Rfam family: Bacterial small subunit ribosomal RNA
Source: RNAcentral
AUUGAACGCUGGCGGCAUGCCUUACACAUGCAAGUCGAACGGCAGCACGGGAGCAAUCCUGGUGGCGAGUGGCGAACGGGUGAGUAAUAUAUCGGAACGUGCCCAGUCGUGGGGGAUAACGUAGCGAAAGCUACGCUAAUACCGCAUACGAUCUACGGAUGAAAGCGGGGGAUCGCAAGACCUCGCGCGAUUGGAGCGGCCGAUAUCAGAUUAGGUAGUUGGUGAGGUAAAGGCUCACCAAGCCGACGAUCUGUAGCUGGUCUGAGAGGACGACCAGCCACACUGGGACUGAGACACGGCCCAGACUCCUACGGGAGGCAGCAGUGGGGAAUUUUUGGGACAAUGGGCGCAAGCCUGAUCCAGCAAUGCCGCGUGCAGGAUGAAGGCCUGGUUGUAACUAG